UGGUUCAUUUGGUUUGUUCUGUUUCCCCCUAAAGUUAUAAUGGUUCGGUCCUGGGGUUCCCCCCCUACUCCUCCCCUGGCAACCCCUCCUUUUGAGAGUGUCAAUCUGUUGUCUCCUCCCCUGUUUCCCUGGUUACCCUCUGCCAAUCCCUCCCUGAGUUCCUGUCCAUCACCCACUGUCCCCUUCCCUCUUUCCAGAAAGUUCUCCCCUCUUCAGUGGGUGAUUGGAUCGGGAACAAGAGUCCCUCCCUGUCACAUUCCCUAUUGGCUACCCGGAACCAGGACCCCUCUGUGGUGAAGAUGAUAAAGGAGCUCUGGCUGUGAAUAUGAGGCUGAGGGAUGUAUCCAGAUACCCUGAUAUGUGCAGCCCCAGACUGGGGUUAGAGCUCUUGGUUAACCUGUGUGACUCCUUGCCCUGGAAUGUGACAGAGUGGUGGCACAUUGCCAGCCUCUUCCUCUGAGCUAGGAGGGAGCUGUGGGGAGCUUGUUCCUGCCAGUGGUGGGCAGCACAGCUGCAUGGGUGAGCCCUGCACAGCUCAUACUUCAUCCUUGGAGAUCCAAUCCUGGAGAUCCUCAGGGCCUUCAAUCAGUCCAUCUUCAGCGGAGGAUAGUAUGCAAAGAGCACUGCCUGAGCAAGAAACUGUCUCUGUUGCCUAGUGUUUUGUAUUGCUCCUUUGAUGAAAAACAAAAGGGAAAGCUGCUGUCUGAAAAAAAAAAAGGUGAAUGAAAAGGGUUUUUACCUUUAGGAGGUAUGUUAGGCCCCUUGAAUCUGCAGGGACUUCAGCACUUACUGCACUACAAUUAAGACAGAAAAUUACUGGAUGCCACGCUGCUGUCUGAAUCCCCUACUCCCCCGGCUAGGGGAGGAGACUGC
Molecule: long non-coding RNA, 873 nt
Organism: Passer domesticus (house sparrow)
Lineage: Eukaryota; Metazoa; Chordata; Aves; Passeriformes; Passeridae
Exons: 3
Source: RefSeq, a predicted model, not a curated record